AUUCACAAUGCUUAGGUGAUACUUUUACGCUGAUAUCUGCGAGCUAUAUUCCACACAUGGUACUUAUAAGUGGCGCAGUAUUUAAAGUGCAAGAAAUAACUUUAAAAAUGUAUGUUGACAAUUAAAACCUUUUCACUAUUAAAGGAACACUAUGGUCACCAAAACAACUUUAGCUUAAUGAAGCAGGUUUAGUGUAUAGAUCAGG
Molecule: non-coding RNA, 205 nt
Organism: Pelobates cultripes (western spadefoot toad)
Lineage: Eukaryota; Metazoa; Chordata; Amphibia; Anura; Pelobatidae
Source: the annotation of a GenBank genome assembly